AUGGCAACAAGUGGAGCUCCCAGUGAUCUUGGCUUCCAGCUCUGUCACAUAAGCCUCCAUCCUAGCUCUCCUGAACCUGCUACCUGUCUCACAACAACUGAAAAACAAAUUGGAGUUACCUACACAAGAGUAGGUGCUGAACAGAACACAAAUCUCAACACACUGCCUGUUAUUGAACCACCAUUUUCAUAUUCCUGUUUUCACAGUUUCUACCAUCAUGUUUUCUUCUUACAGUCUGUUUCCUGCCCUGAGAGAUCAAAUUAAGAAUUGCCAAGAGUGGAAUCUUGUGAAGAUUUCCUUUCUUAAAGCUGUUUAUACUUAUUUUACACUAGAAUGAAUGGAAAAGACAUGGUCAAUCAAAGCUUUUCUUGAAUUCUGGAAGGACAGAGUACCACUGCACAUGCACUGAAGUACUUUCCUCCAAGAAAUAGUGUGGUGUUCCUUUUUUUUAAUUAUUUAUUUUAUUUGGGA
Molecule: long non-coding RNA, 471 nt
Filed under: Anser brachyrhynchus (Pink-footed goose)
Lineage: Eukaryota; Metazoa; Chordata; Aves; Anseriformes; Anatidae
Description: lncRNA (ENSABRG00000005830.1)
Source: RNAcentral